This 73-nucleotide transfer RNA is filed under the name Felis catus (domestic cat). It matches the Rfam family "tRNA". Rfam says of the family: Transfer RNA (tRNA) molecules are approximately 80 nucleotides in length. Their secondary structure includes four short double-helical elements and three loops (D, anti-codon, and T loops). The record is from Rfam by way of RNAcentral. Lineage: Eukaryota; Metazoa; Chordata; Mammalia; Carnivora; Felidae. RNAcentral also lists the same sequence under 3 other names.
ACCUGGCUGGCUCAGUGGGUAGAGCGUGGGGCUCUUGAUCUUGGGGUCGUGAGUUCAGGCCCCACGCUGGGCA